UGCCGGGAUAGCUCAGUUGGUAGAGCAGAGGACUGAAAAUCCUCGUGU
RNAcentral lists this transfer RNA (48 nucleotides) under Schljakovia kunzeana. RNAcentral describes it as "partial tRNA-Phe". It matches the Rfam family "tRNA", at positions 1 to 46 of the family's 71-position model. From Rfam's summary of the family: Transfer RNA (tRNA) molecules are approximately 80 nucleotides in length. Their secondary structure includes four short double-helical elements and three loops (D, anti-codon, and T loops). Lineage: Eukaryota; Viridiplantae; Streptophyta; Jungermanniopsida; Jungermanniales; Anastrophyllaceae. The record is from RNAcentral.